Molecule: non-coding RNA, 212 nt
Organism: Vicia faba (fava bean)
Lineage: Eukaryota; Viridiplantae; Streptophyta; Magnoliopsida; Fabales; Fabaceae
Source: the annotation of a GenBank genome assembly
AUGAUAGAGAUCAAACAUCCAUGGUGCUACGAUCUACAAUGUUGUGGAGAUGAGUCAAAUGGCGGUGAGACAGAGGUGAGAGGCGGAGCUGUGAUUAUUGAUCAAAGAAGAAUGUUUGAGGAGUUGAGAUCGCGCCAUUUGCGAAUAAGAGAGCCUGGGUCGUAUUAUCUGAAACGACAUAAUUGUGACCCUAUCCAAGAUCUAAAUCCAGC